RNAcentral lists this small RNA (144 nucleotides) under Marmota monax (woodchuck). Lineage: Eukaryota; Metazoa; Chordata; Mammalia; Rodentia; Sciuridae. The record is from RNAcentral.
GCCAGGUGUGGUGGUGCACACCGGUAAUCCUAGCUGCUUGGGAGGCUGAGACAGGAGAAUCAUGAGUUCAAAAGCCAGCCUCAGCAAUUUAGCAAUAUAUAUGGCAUAUAUUAACAAUAAGCAAUCAGUGAGACCCUGUCUCUA